RNAcentral lists this ribosomal RNA (1777 nucleotides) under human gut metagenome. RNAcentral describes it as "bacterial LSU rRNA". It matches the Rfam family "Bacterial large subunit ribosomal RNA", at positions 211 to 1983 of the family's 2925-position model. The record is from RNAcentral.
UGCAGGAAAAGAAAAUAAACAAUGAUUCCCCCAGUAGUGGCGAGCGAACGGGGAAGAGCCCAAACCACCCAUGUUACGGCAUGGGUGGGGUUGUAGGACUACGCCGUUGCAUGAAGACAUCAGAGAAGAACUUUCUGGAAAGAAAGACCAUAGAGCAUGACAGUUGCGUAUUCGAAUGUUGUCGAAGCAUAGUAGUAUCCUGAGUAGCGCGGAGCACGAGGAAUUCUGCGUGAAUCUGCCGGGACCAUCCGGUAAGGCUAAAUACUCCCGAGAGACCGAUAGCGAACCAGUACCGUGAGGGAAAGGUGAAAAGCACUUCGAACAGAAGAGUGAAAUAGUUCCUGAAACCGUGCGCCUACAAGCGGUCGGAGCUCGUUAAUGAGUGACGGCGUGCCUUUUGCAUAAUGAACCUACGAGUUGCCUUUGCCGGCAAGGUUAAGUGUGACGACACACGUAUCCGAAGCGAAAGCGAGUCUGAACAGGGCGUAUAGUCGGCAGUGGCAGACGCGAAACCAAGUGAUCUACCCUUGGCCAGGUUGAAGGCUGGGUAACACCAGCUGGAGGACCGCACCAAUAAGCGUUGAAAAGCUUCUGGAUGAGCUGAGGGUAGGGGUGAAAGGCUAAUCAAACUUGGAGAUAGCUCGUACUCCCCGAAAUGCAUUUAGGUGCAGCCUUGCGGGUUACUGAUGUGAGGUAGAGCGACUGAUAAGAUGCGAGGGCUUCACCGCCUAUCAAGUCUUGACAAACUCCGAAUGCGCAUCAGUUCUACCGCAGGAGUGAGGGCAUGGGUGCUAAGGUCCGUGCCCGAGAGGAGAAGAAUCCGGACCACCUGCUAAGGUCCCGAAAUGACAGCUAAGUUAAACUAACGAAGUCUGAUUGCUAAGACAGCUAGGAUGUUGGCUUGGAAGCAGCCAUUCAUUUAAAGAGUGCGUAACAGCUCACUAGUCGAGGAGUCGGGCGUGGAUAAUAAUCGGGUAUCAAGUUGUCUACCGAAGCAGUGGGAUCAUUAAUAUGAUCGGUAGGGGAGCAUUCCAGUCAGCGUCGAAGGCGUACCGUGAGGUAUUCUGGAGCGUCUGGAAAAGCAAAUGUAGGUAUAAGUAACGAUAAAGGGGGCGGGAAACCCCCUCGCCGAAAGACUAAGGUUUCCUGAUCAACGCUAAUCGGAUCAGGGUCAGUCGGGUCCUAAGGCUCAGCCGAACGGCGAUGCCGAUGGCAGAAACGGUUAAUAUUCCGUUACUACCUUCAGGAGUGACGUGGAGACGCAGUAGUGACAGUGCCGCCAUCUGACGGAAUAGAUGGUUGAAGGGUGUAGGAGUCGAUCAUGGCAGGCAAAUCCACCAUGAGAUCCGAACCUGACAGUAUGCCGCGUCCUUCGGGACAAGGCAAUAGUGCGCGUAAGCAUGCUGCCGAGAAAAUCCGCUAAACUUAAUCCUGCAGGUACCCGUACCGCAAACGGACACACGUAGUCGGGAUGAAUAUUCUAAGGCGCUUGAGUGAUUCACGGUUAAGGAACUAGGCAAACUGACCCUGUAACUUCGGGAUAAAGGGUCCCUACCCUUUUAUGGGAGGGCGCAGAGAAUCGGUCCAGGCAACUGUUUAACAAAAACACAGGGCUGUGCCAAAUCGAAAGAUCCAGUAUACAGCCUGACACCUGCCCGGUGCUGGAAGGUUAAGAGGAGAUGUCAUCGAUAAGAGAAGCGUUGAAUUGAAGCCCCAGUAAACGGCGGCCGUAACUAUAACGGUCCUAAGGUAGCGAAAUUCCUUGUCGGGUAAGUUC